This 442-nucleotide ribosomal RNA is filed under the name uncultured bacterium. RNAcentral's name for it is "partial 16S ribosomal RNA". It matches the Rfam family "Bacterial small subunit ribosomal RNA", at positions 338 to 795 of the family's 1533-position model. The record is from RNAcentral.
CCUACGGGAGGCAGCAGUAGGGAAUCUUUCACAAUGGGCGAAAGCCUGAUGGAGCAACGCCGCGUGCAGGAUGAAGGCCUUCGGGUUGUAAACUGCUUUUAUAAGCGAGAAAUAUGAUGGUAACUUAUGAAUAAGGAUCGGCUAACUACGUGCCAGCAGCCGCGGUCAUACGUAGGAUCCGAGCAUUAUCCGGAGUGUCUGGGUGUAAAGAGUUGCGUAGGUGGCAUAAUAAGUAGCUAGGGAAAUCUGGUGGCUCAACCAUUCAGACGAUAAGCUAAACUGUUAAGCUCGAGACCGUUAGGGGUAACUGGAAGUUCUAGUGUAGGAGUGAAAUGCGUAGAUAUUAGAAAGAACACCAAUAGCGAAGGCAGGUUACUGGGACGGUUCUGACACUAAGGCACGAAAGCGUAGGGAGCAAACGGGAUUAGAUACCCGUGUAGUC